AAGAUAACCUGCUGGUGCUCACGUGUCCCGAAAAGAAGAAGAAUGAAAAUCCUGCCCUGUCGGAUUGAGUAUUACAUCAGGUACUGGUGUCGAUAUUC
Molecule: microRNA precursor, 98 nt
Filed under: Culex quinquefasciatus (southern house mosquito)
Lineage: Eukaryota; Metazoa; Arthropoda; Insecta; Diptera; Culicidae
Description: microRNA cqu-mir-12 precursor
Gene: cqu-mir-12
Source: miRBase by way of RNAcentral